This is a long non-coding RNA of Ananas comosus (pineapple), 937 nucleotides long. RefSeq lists it as uncharacterized. The record is from RefSeq and is a predicted model, not a curated record. NCBI's taxonomy places the organism in Eukaryota, Viridiplantae, Streptophyta, Magnoliopsida, Poales, Bromeliaceae. The transcript has 2 exons.
UUUAUUUAAUUUAAGUUAAUGUCCAGCAGCUGUCAAAAGUUUUGUGCUGAUUUGGAAGAGUUUGGAGUGCAGAUCUGGAAGAGCAGUAGAACUAAUUAAUUUUUUUUAAAGAUAAAGAGUUUGCAAAGAAAUUUGUGCACCUGAAACCCUAUCAGCAUCACAGGGUCUUUUCCUUUUAACAUUUGAGCAUUUUAAGAGUGACUUGACAGUGGCACUUGUUUUUCCAUUUUUAGUCCCAUCUCCCACCACCUUUUCCCAUUCUUCCUCAUCUAUGCACAGUUGAACCCCCAAAUAUAAAAGAGAGAGAGAGAGAGAGAGAGAGAGAGAGGUGAUCUUACUCAACCAUCUUUUAAUAUAGUUUAGGAUUUUGGUUUCAAAGAGGGGGGAAAAAUAAAAUCAUCUCAGAGGAACUCCAGGUUGAAUUCUGCGGUUCAUUAUCAGGCUUUAAUCUCAGUUCUCUUCAUUUUCAUAUCGAAAGACCGAAACAUACGAGCGAGGCGCUUAAAUGAGCUCUAGAACCUCGAGUACCAAAGUGAGAAGGAAAAGCCAAAUCGGUGUAAAGGCUCAAAGUGGCGAGCUCAUGGAAAACAAAGUACUGAGAACUUCUUCAGCUAAGAGAUUGUAUGUGGAGCAUAAAAGGCCUCAAGUGAAUAGCCAGAGACCUUUUCCGUCGAGUUAUUUCACCGUCGAAUCGUUCGUGAUACUUGGUUGCCUAACGGCAUCACUAUUGGUUCUUCCACUACUUUUGCCCCCGUUGCCUCCGCCGCCUUUUUUGUUAUUACUACUUCCGAUCGGCAUACUUGUUGUGCUGCUGAUCUUGGCCUUUAUGCCAUCUGAUACCCGGAAUAUCGCAUCCCCUUACUUGUAAAGCGCCGAUAACUUUUCCAUGUUAUAUACGAUGAGUUAAAAAGAGAAAUAUGUUCUUUUAUUUCUUCUA